This 75-nucleotide transfer RNA is filed under the name Cordylochernes scorpioides. RNAcentral's name for it is "tRNA-Thr". It matches the Rfam family "tRNA". From Rfam's summary of the family: Transfer RNA (tRNA) molecules are approximately 80 nucleotides in length. Their secondary structure includes four short double-helical elements and three loops (D, anti-codon, and T loops). Further hydrogen bonds mediate the characteristic L-shaped molecular structure. tRNAs have two regions of fundamental functional importance: the anti-codon, which is responsible for specific mRNA codon recognition, and the 3' end, to which the tRNAs corresponding amino acid is attached (by aminoacyl-tRNA synthetases). tRNAs cope with the degeneracy of the genetic code in two manners: having more than one tRNA (with a specific anti-codon) for a particular amino acid; and 'wobble' base-pairing, i.e. permitting non-standard base-pairing at the 3rd anti-codon position. The record is from RNAcentral. Lineage: Eukaryota; Metazoa; Arthropoda; Arachnida; Pseudoscorpiones; Chernetidae.
GUCCAGGAUAGCCUAGUGGUCAUGGCAUCUGCCCAGUAAGCGGAAGGUCGUGGGUUCGAUUCCCAUCCCUUGACA